UACGGAGGAUCCGAGCGUUAUCCGGAUUUAUUGGGCUUAAAGGGUGCGUAGACGGCCUUGUAAGUCAGGGGUGAAAGACGGUAGCUUAACUAUCGCAGUGCCUUUGAUACUGCAGGGCUUGAAUGUACUUGAGGUAGGCGGAAUGUGACAAGUAGCGGUGAAAUGCAUAGAUAUGUCACAGAACACCAAUUGCGAAGGCAGCUUACUAAAGUAUGAUUGACGCUGAGGCACGAAAGCGUGGGGAUCAAACAGG
RNAcentral lists this ribosomal RNA (253 nucleotides) under uncultured bacterium. RNAcentral's name for it is "partial 16S ribosomal RNA". It matches the Rfam family "Bacterial small subunit ribosomal RNA", at positions 524 to 776 of the family's 1533-position model. The record is from RNAcentral.